GCUUGCUUCAAUCCGCUCAGGCUUGCUUCAAUCUGCUAAGGCUUCAAUCCGCUCAGGCUCACUUCAAUCCACUCAGGCUUGCUUCAAUCUGCUAAGGCUUCAAUCCGCUCAGACUCACUUCAAUCUGCUCAGGCUUCACUUAUCUUCGCAGAUAAAAAAAAUACUCUUCAUUGCUUUGUGGGAAAUACUCCAAGACGUCUAGGGUAAGUUCCUGCUCUUCAUAAUUGACAUGACAGCUUCAAACUUGUGUUGCUUGGAAUAUUUGUUCUCUUCCCCUUGUGUGGCUUGUUAUGCGAGUGAUGCAAGGCCAUAUGUUUCAUUGCAAUGAGAGAAGGAGCUGAGCAGCCAUAAUCUUCUUUUGGUGAUGACCUUGAGGCGACCUGAAACGGUCUUCGAGAUUUGAACGGCAUUAGGGCCUUGCUUAGGAAGGUAGAGAUGAUUGCUGAAGCCGUGUUGUAGGAAGCUUCUCAGAGGAGUUGUUCAGUUUUUUACUUUCUAGGCUUUCGGUGGAACAAGGUUGAGACUUCCAGAUGGUACAGAAAGAUAAAGAUGCUGCAAAAGAUAAACAGAGUUAGAAUGAGAGCUCCACCUUCACUAUCUUCUUGUUGCCUCGCAGCUUCUCUUCUUCUGCUCUUCUGUUCUCUUCUCUUCCUCCUCUUGUUCUCUUCUCGUUCUUCUUUUCUGCCUCCUUUCGUUACAGAGAACUUACCUUUUUAUAGGCACAGCAGGUUAGUUUAAUGAAGAUAGCUAUCAAUUCAAAUUCAAACUGAGGUUGAUCCUUUAUCCAUUUGAAUCGGAAAGAUUAUAGCAGUAUCUCUAUCUUCUUCUUUGACCUCUGAGGCCUUUGUUAAUAUUCAAACUUAUUCUUCCACAUAUGUA
RNA transcript from Fragaria vesca subsp. vesca, 879 nucleotides. RefSeq lists it as uncharacterized. The transcript has 2 exons. Lineage: Eukaryota; Viridiplantae; Streptophyta; Magnoliopsida; Rosales; Rosaceae. The record is from RefSeq and is a predicted model, not a curated record.